This 26-nucleotide non-coding RNA is filed under the name Gallus gallus (chicken). Lineage: Eukaryota; Metazoa; Chordata; Aves; Galliformes; Phasianidae. The record is from miRBase by way of RNAcentral.
CUGGGAACUUGAGGCAGCUGUUGAGU